RNAcentral lists this unclassified non-coding RNA (586 nucleotides) under Hevea brasiliensis (rubber tree). The record is from RNAcentral. Lineage: Eukaryota; Viridiplantae; Streptophyta; Magnoliopsida; Malpighiales; Euphorbiaceae.
AAAGAGAAGCCAACGAGCUGCAAAAUUAUUGCACAAGAGAGUCCCAGUAACAUUAUUUUAUUCGCUUUCCUUGGGCUUGGGGAUUUUCUUAUAUUCAUAAUCAUUAAUAUCAACCUUCUCUUGCAAAGCCUUUAGUUCUUCCUCCAAGUUUAUUUUUUUGGGGUUAUAUGCAUUGACAGGUCCAUACCGGGAGAGAGCUUUUCUUGUUUCUAUGAUUUCCCACUCUUGAUCAUCCUUUACUUUAGCUAUAUCCUUGCUGCCUUGCAGAAGUUGGCUAAGACCAAUAGAUCCAAGCACUGUUAGUGAGAUCAUAGGAAGUCCAUAUCUCAUAAAUGGUGAUUUCCUGCUCUUGAUCAUCCUUUACUUUAGCUAUAUCCUUGCUGCCUUGCAGAAGUUGGCUAAGACCAAUAGAUCCAAGCACUGUUAGUGAGAUCAUAGGAAGUCCAUAUCUCAUAAAUGGUGAUUUCCUGCCCAAUCUUUUGAAUGAGGAAGCUGAGUUUUGAACGCUGGCAGUAGAGGAGGCUGCUCGUUCAUUAGCUUUAUUAGGCUGACUCGUUGUAGUCUGGGUAGUUGUCAUGGAGUCAGU